RNAcentral lists this ribosomal RNA (305 nucleotides) under uncultured bacterium. RNAcentral's name for it is "partial 16S ribosomal RNA". It matches the Rfam family "Bacterial small subunit ribosomal RNA", at positions 508 to 807 of the family's 1533-position model. The record is from RNAcentral.
ACAGCAGUAGCCGCGGUAAUACGGAGGGUGCAAGCGUUAAUCGGAAUUACUGGGCGUAAAGCGCACGCAGGCGGUCUGACAAGUCAGAUGUGAAAUCCCCGGGCUUAACCUGGGAACUGCAUUUGAAACUGUCAGGCUGGAGUCUUGUAGAUGGGGGUGGAAUUCCAGGUGUAGCGGUGAAAUGCGUAGAGAUCUGGAGGAAUACCGGUGGCGAAGGCGGCCCCCUGGACAAAGACUGACGCUCAGGUGCGAAAGCGUGGGGAGCAAACAGGAUUAGAUACCCCUGUAGUCCCUGUCUCUUAUAC